UUUAUACUAUUAAAUGGUAGACAUAACAGGAAAACAAAAUUUAUGCGGAUUUGUUAAUACCUACCAUAAGCUAUGUUAUCUGCUUAAUUUGUGAUGUAUGAAUUUUACAAUUUCUUCUUCACAAGAAUGGGUUGAAUAUAGUUUAUAUGGCUGUUUUAUAAGACAAUUAUAUAAAGAUAGGAGAUUAUACUAAUUAAACUCUGGAAGUCAAAGAAAAACAGCAUUCAAUGAGUAGCAUCAAUUACAUAUUAAGUGCUGUGAUGGACAAUUCUUGUUAUGUAACUUAGAUAUCACUACAGUCCUGACAUAGUUCUUUUUUCAUAGUAAAGGAAGCUGAAGACCAGAGACCAUGUCUAAAUUGUUCAAAGUCAUCAAAUUACAGUGAAGUAGAAAGUGAACUUGAUCUCAAAUCUUAGUCUCUAUUUCUAAACAAUAGGGCAUAAUAUAGAAGUUUUCUGAGUAUGUGACAGGUCCUGAGCUUAAUGCUGCAGGCUGACAACUAAGCUAUCUUUCCCAAACUGCACUGCUUUGCUGUGGAUUCUUUCUGAAUCUUUAGUUCAACUUCCUGUUAGCAACACAUGGAGCAUGCAAGAGCAUAGAAAAAAGGGAAAUGAACAUGGUCUUGUGCUCCUUUAUCUAAGAUUGCAACAUAAAAACCAGAUUAUAAAUAAAAAAUAAUUCCAAGAGUCCAGUCUGAAAAUCUGUUAAUAUUUUAUAGAUUUGGAGAAUGUGCUAGAAAUCAUAGAGAACCAAGGGUGGAUAUGGGAGGGCAGAGAGUGUUGGAGGGAAAGUAAUUUUUUGGAACGAUUAGUGUUAGACCAACAAAACUUUUAUCUUUGAAUGGCAGGCUCUUCACAAAUUUUCAUCUUGGUGAUUUACUAUAUAAACAUAACCCUUCUGUAGCUGGUACACAGUUUCGAUUGGAAACAUGCCCCUAGUUUAAUGACUGUUCUUAAGAUGAAAGUCUCCUUCUUUGGUGCUAUUGAGCAUGCAAUGCUAUAAACUUCACUGUCUCCACAUGCACCAGGUAUUAGGAAGGGAAGAAUUGAUUUUCAGGGUAAAUAGGCUUUUGAGUUAAUCUUCCUGUAUACAAAUGUAUUAAGCAUGGUCUUUUUGGAGUCAGUAAUUCACUCUUGUGUCCCUGAAGUAAUGGAUUUAGCACUGACAUAGGCAGUUAUUUAUGGCCUUUAGUGAGCUGUUUCUUGUAACUGAUUUCAAGUUAUACAGGUCUAAAUAUGACUUUAAGCCAAGUCUGGGAAUAGCUUUUGUAGCUCUUGCUGUUAGCAUCUUAAGCUGGUGUAAGGUGCCUUUAGAAGGAAAGAAAACCGGCUGAAUCAGUUCAUAUUUCCAGGCCAGCACAGCCAGGAUGCUCCGAUGUGCUCCUUCCCUCUCUGUUUUCUAGUCAGUAAAUCACAGAUGCUUAGCAGUUAUGAAAACAUCUUUAGUGCUCCAUGACACAUGGGAUUUCCUUAAGUGUCCUUUAUACCUGUGUCAGUUUUCAUAUUUAAUGACUGUGUUAAACUCAGUGUUGGGUUCUCCUUGCUUUUCUCUGCUGGGCUACAGGCCAAUUUUCCACUUGCUUAUAGCAAUCCCCUUUUUAAGCUUCUUGAUGUUUUCCGUUGGAAUAAGAGUUUCUCUUUCUGCACACACAGCAGAGAGAGGCUGAUGAAAGAGAUAUCUUACUCUAAGUAUCCUUUGCUGAAUGUUUGUCUAGGGUAUAGUUUUUACAUAUUUAAUUAACUAUGGUCUACUUUAAACUAAUAUUACAUAACUUUAAGUUUUGUGUUAGCAUCUCACAGAGCUAUCUACCAAUUCUUCCUUCUCUUUUUGUGCUGGUAUUAUAAUGUUAUUUAUUUAAAUUUUUUAAAAAUAUCAUUUGUAGUACAAAUGUGCUGUCAAAGAAUUCUUUCAGUAUUAGUGGGCUUGAAAAAAUAAAUCUUGCUUUGCAUUUUUUUUUUUGAAAGGGAUUUACAAUGGAUAGAGAAUUCC
RNAcentral lists this long non-coding RNA (1989 nucleotides) under Marmota monax (woodchuck). The record is from RNAcentral. Lineage: Eukaryota; Metazoa; Chordata; Mammalia; Rodentia; Sciuridae.